RNAcentral lists this ribosomal RNA (468 nucleotides) under uncultured bacterium. RNAcentral describes it as "partial 16S ribosomal RNA". It matches the Rfam family "Bacterial small subunit ribosomal RNA", at positions 28 to 507 of the family's 1533-position model. The record is from RNAcentral.
GACGAACGCUGGCGGCGUGCUUAACACAUGCCAGUCGAACGGAAAGGCCCUGCUUUUGUGGGGUUCUCGAGUGGCGAACGGGUGCGUAACACGUGAGUAACCUACCCUUGACUUUGGGAUAACUUCAGGAAACUGGGGCUAAUACCGGAUAGGAGCUCCUGCUGCAUGGUGGGGGUUGGAAAGUUUCGGCUGUUGGGGUUGGACUCGCGGCUUAUCAGCUUGUUGGUUGGGUAGUGGCUUACCAAGGCUUUGACGGGUAGCCGGCCUGGGAGGGUGACCGGCGUCAUUGGGCCUGAGGUACGGCCCAGAGUGCUACGUGAGGCAGCAGUGGGGAAUCUUACACAGUGGGCGGGAGCCUGAUGAAGAAACGCUGCGUGCGGGAUGACGGCCUUCUGGUUGUAAAACGCUUUCGCCUGUGACGAAGCGUGAGUGACGGUAAUGAGUGAAGAAGCACCGGCUAACUACGUG